AUAUAAACAAUAACAAUGGAUAGGUAGAGAUAAAGAAAUGAAGAUAUCU
Molecule: non-coding RNA, 49 nt
Filed under: Trypanosoma brucei brucei
Lineage: Eukaryota; Euglenozoa; Kinetoplastea; Trypanosomatida; Trypanosomatidae
Source: RNAcentral